CGUGUAGGCGGUUGAUUAAGUCAGUUGUUAAAUACCCUAGCUUAACUGGGGAUCGGCAAUUGAUACUGGUUGACUAGAGGAUAAGAGAGAGAAGUGGAAUUCUCGGAGUAGCGGUAAAAUGCAUAGAUCUCGAGAGGAACACCAGUUGCGAAGGCGGCUUCUUGGCUUAUUCCUGACGCUAAAGCGCGAAAGCGUGGGGAGCAAACAGGAUUAGAUACCCUGGUAGUCC
Molecule: ribosomal RNA, 229 nt
Filed under: uncultured bacterium
Lineage: Bacteria
Description: partial 16S ribosomal RNA
Rfam family: Bacterial small subunit ribosomal RNA
Source: RNAcentral